This 467-nucleotide ribosomal RNA is filed under the name uncultured bacterium. Its description in RNAcentral is "partial 16S ribosomal RNA". It matches the Rfam family "Bacterial small subunit ribosomal RNA", at positions 28 to 507 of the family's 1533-position model. The record is from RNAcentral.
GAUGAACGCUGGCGGCGUGCUUAACACAUGCAAGUCGAACGGAAAGGCCUCUGCUUGCAGGGGUACUCGAGUGGCGAACGGGUGAGUAACACGUGGGUGAUCUGCCCUGCACUUCGGGAUAAGCCUGGGAAACUGGGUCUAAUACCGGAUAGGACAAUGGUUUGGAUGCUGUUGUGGAAAGUUUUUCGGUGUGGGAUGAGCUCGCGGCCUAUCAGCUUGUUGGUGGGGUAAUGGCCUACCAAGGCGUCGACGGGUAGCCGGCCUGAGAGGGUGUACGGCCACAUUGGGACUGGGAUACGGCCCAGACUCCUACGGGAGGCAGCAGUGGGGAAUAUUGCACAAUGGGCGCAAGCCUGAUGCAGCGAGGCCGCGUGGGGGAUGACGGCCUUCGGGUUGUAAACUCCUUUCGCUAGGGACGAAGCGUUUUUGUGACGGUACCUGGAGAAGAAGCACCGGCUAACUACGUG